GAUUGUUGGGCGUAAAGAGCUCGUAGGCGGUUUGUCGCGUCUGCUGUGAAAUCCGGAGGCUCAACCUCCGGCCUGCAGUGGGUACGGGCAGACUAGAGUGCGGUAGGGGAGAUUGGAAUUCCUGGUGUAGCGGUGGAAUGCGCAGAUAUCAGGAGGAACACCGAUGGCGAAGGCAGAUCUCUGGGCCGUAACUGACGCUGAGGAGCGAAAGGGUGGGGAGCAAACAGGCUUAGAUACCCUGGUAGUCCACCCCGUAAACGUUGGGAACUAGUUGUGGGGUCCAUUCCACGGAUUCCGUGACGCAGCUAACGCAUUAAGUUCCCCGCCUGGGGAGUACGGCCGCAAGGCUAAAACUCAAAGGAAUUGACGGGGACCCGCACAAGCGGCGGAGCAUGCGGAUUAAUUCGAUGCAACGCGAAGAACCUUACCAAGGCUUGACAUAUACGAGAACGGGCCAGAAAUGGUCAACUCUUUGGACACUCGUAAACAGGUGGUGCAUGGUUGUCGUCAGCUCGUGUCGUGAGAUGUUGGGUUAAGUCCCGCAACGAGCGCAACCCUCGUUCUAUGUUGCCAGCACGUAAUGGUGGGAACUCAUGGGAUACUGCCGGGGUCAACUCGGAGGAAGGUGGGGAUGACGUCAAAUCAUCAUGCCCCUUAUGUCUUGGGCUUCACGCAUGCUACAAUGGCCGGUACAAAGGGCUGCAAUACCGCGAGGUGGAGCGAAUCCCAAAAAGCCGGUCCCAGUUCGGAUUGAGGUCUGCAACUCGACCUCAUGAAGUCGGAGUCGCUAGUAAUCGCAGAUCAGCAACGCUGCGGUGAAUACGUUCCCGGGUCUUGUACACACCGCCCGUCAAGUCAUGAAAGUCGGUAACACCUGAAGCCGGUGGCCUAACCCUUUUGGAGGAGCCGUCGAAGUGGGAUCG
RNAcentral lists this ribosomal RNA (923 nucleotides) under Microbacterium oxydans. RNAcentral's name for it is "bacterial SSU rRNA". It matches the Rfam family "Bacterial small subunit ribosomal RNA", at positions 547 to 1470 of the family's 1533-position model. Lineage: Bacteria; Bacillati; Actinomycetota; Actinomycetes; Micrococcales; Microbacteriaceae. The record is from RNAcentral.